UACGUAGGUCCCGAACGUUGCGCGAAAUUACUGGGCGUAAAGGGUCCGUAGGCGGUCUGGUAAGUGGAAGGUGAAAGCCUGGGGCUCAACUCCAGAAUUGCCUUCCAAACUGCCGGACUUGAGGCAGGGAGAGGUCGGCGGAAUUCCCGGUGUAGUGGUGAAAUGCGUAGAUAUCGGGAGGAACACCAGUGGCGAAGGCGGCCGACUGGAACUGUCCUGACGCUGAGGGACGAAAGCCAGGGGAGCGAACCGGAUUAGAAACCCUAGUAGUCC
This 273-nucleotide ribosomal RNA is filed under the name uncultured bacterium. Its description in RNAcentral is "partial 16S ribosomal RNA". It matches the Rfam family "Bacterial small subunit ribosomal RNA", at positions 524 to 796 of the family's 1533-position model. The record is from RNAcentral.